RNAcentral lists this ribosomal RNA (252 nucleotides) under uncultured bacterium. RNAcentral's name for it is "partial 16S ribosomal RNA". It matches the Rfam family "Bacterial small subunit ribosomal RNA", at positions 524 to 776 of the family's 1533-position model. The record is from RNAcentral.
UACGUAGGGUGCAAGCGUUAAUCGGAAUUACUGGGCGUAAAGCGUGCGCAGGCGGUUGUGCAAGACAGAUGUGAAAUCCCCGGGCUUAACCUGGGAACUGCAUUUGUGACUGCACGGCUAGAGUGUGUCAGAGGGGGGUAGAAUUCCACGUGUAGCAGUGAAUGCGUAGAUAUGUGGAGGAAUACCGAUGGCGAAGGCAGCCCCCUGGGAUAACACUGACGCUCAUGCACGAAAGCGUGGGGAGCAAACAGG